CUGCCGGCGGCCACUGCUAUCAAGUUCCGACUAAGCCAUGCGAGUCAAGGUAUCGUAAGAUGCCGGCAUACUGCUCAGUAACACGUGGAUAAUUUACCCUUGGGAAAGGGAUAACCUCGGAAAACUGAGGCUAAUACCUUAUAGUUGCUUAAAACUGGAAGGUUUAGGCAAUGAAAGUUUCGACGCCCAAGGAUAAGUCUGCGGCCUAUCAGGUAGUAGGUGGUGUAACGGACCACCUAGCCUUAGACGGGUACGGGCCCUGGGAGGGGUAGCCCGGAGAUGGACUCUGAGACAUAAGUCCAGGCCCUACGGGGCGCAGCAGGCGCGAAAACUGUGCAAUGCGCGAAAGCGCGACACGGGGAGCUUGAGUGUCUUGGCAUAGCCAAGACUUUUCUUAUACCUAAAAAGUAUAAGGAAUAAGUGCUGGGUAAGACGGGUGCCAGCCGCCGCGGUAACACCCGCAGCACAAGUGGUGGUCACUUUUAUUGAGCCUAAAGCGUUCGUAGCCGGUUUUGUAAAUCUUCAGGCAAAUCCUGAAGCCUAACUUCAGAA
Molecule: ribosomal RNA, 552 nt
Filed under: uncultured Ferroplasma sp.
Lineage: Archaea; Methanobacteriati; Thermoplasmatota; Thermoplasmata; Thermoplasmatales; Ferroplasmaceae
Description: bacterial SSU rRNA
Rfam family: Archaeal small subunit ribosomal RNA
Source: RNAcentral